RNAcentral lists this ribosomal RNA (464 nucleotides) under uncultured organism. Its description in RNAcentral is "bacterial SSU rRNA". It matches the Rfam family "Bacterial small subunit ribosomal RNA", at positions 28 to 507 of the family's 1533-position model. The record is from RNAcentral.
GACGAACGCUGGCGGCGUGCUUAACACAUGCAAGUCGAACGGACCUUCUGAUCUUUUGGUUGGUUGGUUAGUGGCGAACGGGUGAGUAACACGUGAGUAACCUGCCCUUCUCUUCGGGAUAACUGUCGGAAACGGUGGCUAAUACCGGAUAUUCAUAUGCUGUCGCAUGGUGGUGUGUGGAAAGAUUUUUUGGUGGGGGAUGGACUCGCGGCCUAUCAGCUUGUUGGUGAGGUAGUGGCUUACCAAGGCUUUGACGGGUAGCCGGCCUGAGAGGGCGACCGGCCACACUGGGACUGAGAUACGGCCCAGACUCCUACGGGAGGCAGCAGUGGGGAAUAUUGCACAAUGGGCGGAAGCCUGAUGCAGCGACGCCGUGUGCGGGAUGACGGCCUUCGGGUUGUAAACCGCUUUCAACUGUGACGAAUUUGACGGUAGCAGUAGAAGAAGCACCGGCUAACUACGUG